GGUUUUAUAGUUUAAUAAAAAUAUUAAAUUGCAAAUUUAAAGAUAAAAUAUUUUUAAAACCU
RNAcentral lists this transfer RNA (62 nucleotides) under Pogonostoma subtiligrossum. RNAcentral describes it as "tRNA-Cys". It matches the Rfam family "tRNA". Rfam says of the family: Transfer RNA (tRNA) molecules are approximately 80 nucleotides in length. Their secondary structure includes four short double-helical elements and three loops (D, anti-codon, and T loops). Further hydrogen bonds mediate the characteristic L-shaped molecular structure. tRNAs have two regions of fundamental functional importance: the anti-codon, which is responsible for specific mRNA codon recognition, and the 3' end, to which the tRNAs corresponding amino acid is attached (by aminoacyl-tRNA synthetases). tRNAs cope with the degeneracy of the genetic code in two manners: having more than one tRNA (with a specific anti-codon) for a particular amino acid; and 'wobble' base-pairing, i.e. permitting non-standard base-pairing at the 3rd anti-codon position. Lineage: Eukaryota; Metazoa; Arthropoda; Insecta; Coleoptera; Carabidae. The record is from RNAcentral.